AGAGUUUGAUCCUGGCUCAGGAUGAACGCUGGCGGCGUGCCUAACACAUGCAAGUCGAGCGGUAUAUAUCUAAACAAAACUUCGGUCUAGUGAGGGUAUAGAGAGCGGCGGACGGGUGAGUAACGCGUAGGCAACCUGCCCCAUACACAGGGAUAGCCUCGGGAAACCGGGAUUAAAACCUGAUAAUGCGAGAAGUUCACAUGGACAACUCGCCAAAGAUUUAUCGGUAUGGGAUGGGCCUGCGUCUGAUUAGCUAGUUGGUGGGGUAACGGCCUACCAAGGCGACGAUCAGUAGCCGACCUGAGAGGGUAAUCGACCACAUUGGAACUGAGACACGGUCCAAACUCCUACGGGAGGCAGCAGUGGGGAAUAUUGCACAAUGGGCGAAAGCCUGAUGCAGCAACGCCGCGUGAGCGAUGAAGGCCUUUGGGUCGUAAAGCUCUGUCCUUGGGGAAGAAAAAAAUGACGGUACCCUUGGAGGAAGCCCCGGCUAACUACGUGCCAGCAGCCGCGGUAAUACGUAGGGGGCAAGCGUUAUCCGGAAUUAUUGGGCGUAAAGAGUGCGUAGGUGGUUUUGUAAGCGCGGGGUGAAAGGCAAUAGCUCAACUAUUGUAAGCCUUGCGAACUGUAAGACUUGAGUGCAGGAGAGGAAAGCGGAAUUCCUAGUGUAGCGGUGAAAUGCGUAGAUAUUAGGAGGAACACCAGUGGCGAAGGCGGCUUUCUGGACUGUAACUGACACUGAGGCACGAAAGCGUGGGGAGCAAACAGGAUUAGAUACCCUGGUAGUCCACGCCGUAAACGAUGAGCACUAUGUGUCGGGGCCGCAAGGCUUCGGUGCCGCAGUUAACGCAUUAAGUGCUCCGCCUGGGGAGUACGCACGCAAGUGUGAAACUCAAAUGAAUUGACGG
This 908-nucleotide ribosomal RNA is filed under the name uncultured bacterium. RNAcentral describes it as "bacterial SSU rRNA". It matches the Rfam family "Bacterial small subunit ribosomal RNA", at positions 8 to 916 of the family's 1533-position model. The record is from RNAcentral.